UUACGACUACAUAUCAGGCAUAUCAAUAAGCGGAGGAAAAGAAACUAACAAGGAUUCCCCUAGUAACGGCGAGUGAAGCGGGAAGAGCUCAAAUUUGAAAUCUUAAAGGGUUUCCCUUUACGAAUUGUAGUUUAAAGAAGUGUUUUCUGUUGGAGUUUCGGUAAAAGUUCUUUGGAAUAGGACAUCAUAGAGGGUGAGAAUCCCGUAUUUGACCGAUUACUUUUCAGCUGUGUGAUACACUUUCAAAGAGUCGGAUUGUUUGGGAAUGCAGUCCAAGAUGGGUGGUAAAUUUCAUCUAAAGCUAAAUAUUGGCGAGAGACCGAUAGCGAACAAGUACCGUGAGGGAAAGAUGAAAAGAACUUUGAAAAGAGAGUUAAACAGUACGUGAAAUUGUCAAAAGGGAAGCGUUUGACACCAGUGUUGUUUAGUUGAAAAUCAAUUCAAUAGUUUUUGAUUCUAAGUAGUAUUGACUUCAUCAGCUUGCUGCUUUCUUCUCAGAAAUUAUUGAAUGCACUUUUCAGUUAACAAGUCAACAUCAAUUUCUUUUGUUGUAAAAGGGUAAGAGGAAGGUGGCUUGCGCUUCGGCUCAAGUGUUUAUAGCCUUUUAUCUCUGCAAUCGGAGAGAUUGAGGUCUGCAGCGUAGAUCCUUCGGGGUUAGAUACAUUGGUGCUAAGCUAUAGCCUUGUAUAGACAACUUGUUGACUAUGCUCAGUCAUGUAGCUUACUCGCUGAUGCUAUUUUACCUACGCUUAGGAUGUUGAGUAGCGACAUACGCAC
RNAcentral lists this ribosomal RNA (777 nucleotides) under uncultured Neocallimastigales. RNAcentral's name for it is "partial large subunit ribosomal RNA". It matches the Rfam family "Eukaryotic large subunit ribosomal RNA", at positions 24 to 649 of the family's 3401-position model. Lineage: Eukaryota; Fungi; Neocallimastigomycota; Neocallimastigomycetes; Neocallimastigales. The record is from RNAcentral.